Molecule: long non-coding RNA, 394 nt
Organism: Rhagoletis zephyria (snowberry fruit fly)
Lineage: Eukaryota; Metazoa; Arthropoda; Insecta; Diptera; Tephritidae
Source: RefSeq, a predicted model, not a curated record
UUCAGCAGGAGUGAGUGGACUGAAGGUUGCAUGUUUUCAGCUGCGGUACAACAGCAACGAUUGUAUGAAGGGCAAAGUGUUUUUGGAGGCGUUGUAGUUGACAGCAGCUGGGAAACUUUUGCAGUGCAGUAAGGAAUAUGCAAAUACUAAGUAUAAGAAAUGAUGGAAAAUAUUACCGAAAGUUGGACCUAUUACGUGUACGUGCUGCUGACACUGGUUCCAGUCUAUUUGGCAUUUCAAUUAAUUAAGUUUUUCGGCUGGGAAUUGUUUGUCAACAACUGACACAACUUACCAAAUAAAAAUAACAACAAGAAGCGCAUACAUACGUGGCAAAGGCGUUUUUAACCAGCUGCGUUGAAGCUAAAGCUGAUAAAAUAUUUAUACAAAAAAAAAA